Molecule: ribosomal RNA, 253 nt
Filed under: uncultured bacterium
Lineage: Bacteria
Description: partial 16S ribosomal RNA
Rfam family: Bacterial small subunit ribosomal RNA
Source: RNAcentral
UACAGAGGUCCCGAGCGUUGUUCGGAUUUACUGGGCGUAAAGGGCUCGUAGGCGGCCAACUAAGUCAGACGUGAAAUCCCUCGGCUUAACCGGGGAACUGCAUCUGAUACUGGAUGGCUUGAGUUCGGGGGAGGGAUGCGGAAUUCCAGGUGUAGCGGUGAAAUGCGUAGAUAUCUGGAGGAACACCGGUGGCGAAGGCGGCAUCCUGGACCGACACUGACGCUGAGGAGCGAAAGCCAGGGGAGCAAACGGG